This 492-nucleotide ribosomal RNA is filed under the name uncultured bacterium. RNAcentral describes it as "partial 16S ribosomal RNA". It matches the Rfam family "Bacterial small subunit ribosomal RNA", at positions 29 to 507 of the family's 1533-position model. The record is from RNAcentral.
AGUGAACGCUGGCGGUAGGCCUAACACAUGCAAGUCGAACGGCAGCACAGUAAGAGCUUGCUAUUACGGGUGGAGAGUGGCGGACGGGUGAGGAAUACAUCGGAAUCUACUUUUUCGUGGGGGGUAAGGUAGGGAAACUUACGCUAAUACCGCAUACGACCUACGGGUGAAAGCAGGGGAUCUUCGGGCCUUGCGCGAUUGAAUGAGCCGAUGUCGGAUUAGCUAGUUGGCGGGGUAAAGGCCCACCAAGGCGACGAUCCGUAGCUGGUCUGAGAGGAUGAUCAGCCACACUGGAACUGAGGCACGGGCCAGACUCCUACGGGAGGCAGCAGUGGGGAAUAUUGGACAAUGGGCGCAAGCCUGAUCCAGCCAUACCGCGUGGGUGAAGAAGGCCUUCGGGUUGUAAAGCCCUUUUGUUGGGAAAGAAAAGCAGCAGGUUAAUACCCCGCUGUUCUGACGGUACCCAAAGAAUAAGCACCGGCUAACUUCGUG